AUUAUGGUAGUUUAACAAAAACACUGAGCUGUGGUUUCAGAAUUGCUUUCUAGCCCUUAAUC
RNAcentral lists this transfer RNA (62 nucleotides) under Marphysa tamurai. RNAcentral describes it as "tRNA-His". Lineage: Eukaryota; Metazoa; Annelida; Polychaeta; Eunicida; Eunicidae. The record is from RNAcentral.